GUCGGCCGUAGCACAGUUGCCAGCGAUUUACUGCCCAUUGGCGGCGGAUUGCGCCCAGCUGAUUUGAAGACCAGCGCCCGACUCAAGGGCAGUGUGCUGUGGUUGAUUCAGGCUGGUCCCUUCGGGACAGUCGCGCUGGCAGAGUGGUGGCCUCGGCCACAUCAUCGCUUGAUCACAUGAACUUCUGACCUAUCAGCUGUGACUGUGGUGUAGUGGACCACAGUGGCCUCGACGGGUGACGGAGAAUUAGGGUUCGAUUCCGGAGAGGGAGCCUGAGAGACGGCUACCACUACCAAGGUGGGCAGCAGGCGCGCAAAUUGCCCAAUGCACAAACAUCCUGCGGGGCAGCGACGAACCGCAGCAAUCCCGCUGGUAUCUUCACCAGCGGGACUUGGAAUGGAUGCAAUCCAAACACAGUGAUGAGUAUCAACUGGAGGGCAAGUCUGGUGCCAGCAGCUGCGGUAAUUCCAGCUCCAAGGGCGUAUACUAACAUUGCUGCUGUUAAAACACCUGUAGUCUGCCACAGGGUUGCAGGUCUGCUGGGCGGCCUGGGGUCGGGUUCGGUGUGGUUGGCCCUCGGGUCGGUCGCGUCGUCCUCGCUCUCGGGGCAAAACCCUCAGCGGUAUGUUCCUGCACCCGAUCCAAUGACGGUGAGAAUGCCCCUGCCGAAAGUCUCCUUCAGUGGGGAUCGAGGCGGUCACGCUGCCAACGCCAGUAUGGACAAAUCAACGUGGCCAGGGCCCCUCCGUGCCCUGGACUGCCCCACGCGUCCACCACCGGGGCCCACCGUUAUCGACACCGUGGAAAACUCAGUGUGCUCAAAGCGACCUGCCUAUGGCUGAAUGUCUGUCCAUGGAAUGUCAAAGCAUCGACCGAGUGAGGCAGUAGGAGUUGUGCUGGCCUUGGAGCCC
RNAcentral lists this ribosomal RNA (911 nucleotides) under uncultured euglenozoan. Its description in RNAcentral is "bacterial SSU rRNA". It matches the Rfam family "Eukaryotic small subunit ribosomal RNA", at positions 157 to 858 of the family's 1831-position model. The record is from RNAcentral. Lineage: Eukaryota; Euglenozoa.